Molecule: long non-coding RNA, 330 nt
Organism: Raphanus sativus (radish)
Lineage: Eukaryota; Viridiplantae; Streptophyta; Magnoliopsida; Brassicales; Brassicaceae
Exons: 3
Source: RefSeq, a predicted model, not a curated record
ACACACACCAUUUUUUUUAUGUUUGCGAGACCACCACGGAGCUACCUGGAGACACUCUGUGCUUCUCAGCACACGUUCAGAACCUCACAGCAGAAAUCAAACUUAGUGCCAGGUAUCCUUUCUUUAUCAAGACGUUCAUAUUAGCAACACUUAUAUGCCCAAGUCUGGAAUGCCACAAGUCAACUGCACUCGGCUCUGCCUUCCCAAUGUUAACCUCUCCUUUAGCAACCGUCCCCUGAAGGAACACCCAGACUUCUCAAGCAUACCAUACGAUAUCAAAUUUCUACUCAUCUGCGGCAUAUACCUCACAUCUGUAAGUAUAAUUUCCAU